Molecule: long non-coding RNA, 690 nt
Filed under: Scleropages formosus (Asian bonytongue)
Lineage: Eukaryota; Metazoa; Chordata; Actinopteri; Osteoglossiformes; Osteoglossidae
Description: lncRNA (ENSSFOG00015024914.1)
Source: RNAcentral
ACAGAACUUGGGUCCCCUGUGGAUUUUGAGAGUCCUUCGGAACCGCCCCGACCCCCUGGGGGGGGCGGGGGCGAGAGGCUCCCGCAGACCUCCUGUCUCUGUUUUCCCCCUCAGAGCGGCAAUGCUAACAAGAACAAUGAUCAGCUGGGUGAGGUUAAGGUGUGUUCAUCUCACACCUCUGCACUUGAUCCCACAGCCUGUUUUGACUGUUUUUGUGUGUUUCGGAAGCUGCUUUUGCCUCUCUUAACUGCCCAAGCGCUCAUGUUCUCUGUGCUCCAGGACCGUGCAGCCCUGCACUCCUCUUCCUCAUCCUGUGAGAACACCCUGGACCAGGAGAGCUCUGCCGAGGCCAGCCUCUCCUCCCUGGCGUCCUCUCUGAGCAGCUGGACUCCGUGUGACGGCAGGGAGCCCUCGCUGAGCGAGAAGUCCGGCACCCCAUCGAUAAAGUCCGACACUCUGGUUUCCUUGGAAACGUUCUCCCCCAUCCGCAAUGCUUCUGCCUUGUCCCGCGUAGCCCCUGACAUGACCCUGAGGGACCUUGUCGUGAAUGUGAGCCCCCCGCUGCCGGCAGAGGGAGCCCCGCUCCAAGGUGCUUCGAGAUCGACGCCCCACGAAGUGAAUGGAGAAGUGGGUGGGGCUCUAGUGUACAGGGAAGGGAUGGACCUCCUGUCACCCCAGUUGAGCAGCGGC